GGGCUGGCGGGAGCGCGGGCCCUCGAGCCGCGCGGGAGCCGGGAGGAUGCCCGCCCGUGCUGCACCUACGGUCGGAACAUUCCCCUGAAAAGUGGAGGUCCCGUUCAGGUCCCUCCCCUAACAACCCGCGGCAGGUCCGGGCCUAGCUGACCUCUGCUCCAGAAUCCGCAAGGCCCGCGGCGCCUCCGUUUCAGCGGAGAAAAAGAGCUCCAGGAACGAUGAGAAGGAAUAAAAAGAGAGGAGAGGAAACUGAGGCAUGGAGAUAGGUGACCACACCCCGUCCCCUGCCUGGCCACUGCAAGUCUCUGCAAGAGGAGCCACUAAAAGCCAGCCCAGCCCUGGACCGUGUCUCAGACACCAGUGAGGACACAGCAAGAAUACAGCUGUCCCCAAGCCAGGAAGAGGGUCCUCCACCAGGAACCAAAUCUCGGGCAUUCUGAACUUGGACUUCCCAGGUUCCAAAAACGUGUCGCCCUUAGCAAUGACCACAGCCACCCAGUUCUGCCCCCUACAAUGUGCCAGGCACACUGGACACCUUCAACUCUGAAGACCAGCACAGGUUGACUUCUGAAACCCUCCUCACAACCCAGAAGAACACGCUCUGGGGACGGGGAAAUGAGGCUCAGGUCAGCAAUGCGACUUACCCAAGAUCAUGCAGCAAUACCUGGACAGGCCAAGAUUUGGACAUUGCUGUGUCACACCCCAAGGUGCUCAUUCCCUAGGUGACUUAGACUGAAGUCCCCUCCCCAGGAUGUGUCGCCCCAGUCUGCGUCCCCGAGAGGGGCCUCCCCGGGCUAGAGCAGGGAUGGGAACUUGGGCUGUGGGAACACCAGCUCCUCCCUGCCUGGUGCUCUUUGUGUCUUUUGGGCCACCACUUUCUGGAGAGUCACUUCCCCGUCCUUGGUCUGCCUCCAGCCACUGCCCCUCUGUGCAGCAGCCCCAGGAGGUCUCAUAACAUGCAUUGGAUCUCAGCACUCCCUGCCCAAGCUCUGCUCACUCCACUGCGGCCCUAAUGGGCCCCCCAGGGCCUUUGCACAUGCUGUUCCCUCAGCUGGGAACAGUCUUACCCCACAUCUUCCCAUGCUGCCUCUUUCUAGUCAUUAUGCCUCAGAAGAGGUGCCCACCUCUGCCCACCCUGAACCAAAUGUGGUACCCGCUAAAAUGUGAGCUUCCCAGGGCAGGUACCUUAUCUGCGUCCCAUGGUUUUUUAUGUCUGACUUAUAGUAGGUGCUCAAUAAACACGUUGAAGAAACAGGGGCAGCUGCCAUGUGAUGGGAGGGAACAAGAUGUGUCCAGGAUGAGGGGCCUGACAGAUAACUCGAUUUCCCCUUCUGUAAAAUGGCACCAGGAGAGCCUAGAGUGGAGAAGGGGUUGGGUGGGGCACCCAGGGAAGGGACUGAGCCCCUCAGGCAGCUCUUGAGGCUGAAAGCACGAGGUCCAAGUAGGCUGGCCAAGCCCACAGGCUGAAGGAGGAAAAGACGGACCCAGGAGCCACCUAUGCGGACAGCCCACACACUCGGAUACCCAGGUCGUGCACCCCUCCCACCUAGACACACACAGACACCCAGACAUGACAAGUCCCACACACAGCCCACCUGAGAGGCAGGGACACACACACACAGAUACGUCCACGUGCAAGCCUGCACCACACACACCCUGUGCCGAUGAGCACACCCCCUGACCACACAAGACCCACAGCACAGCUACACCAGCACCCCCCACCACACAUGCACACACUCCAACACAAGUCCGCACGGAUGGAAGGGUGCAGAACCACAGCUCCCAGGGCUCUUCUCCAUCUAGAAAGUCCCCCUCUCCUCCUCCAGGCAGGCCUCGGGGGGGGGGGGGGGCAGGGGGGGGCUCUGUCCCAGAGUUCUGAGGACAGGGGAUGGGUGGCAGCCACCAGGGAAGAAGUAACCGUGUCACUCGCUCAUCUGGGUCCCCGCUGAUCAGUGAGAGAACCUUUGUGGGUGCCCAGGGCACAAGAACCACCCCCCUCCUGCCGCUUUCCUUUCCUCGCCCAAGUAGGGAACGGAGCUUAGGGUGCACCCCACCUCACACUCUUCCAGCCCCCAGCUCACCACAGCCUGGGCAGAAGAGGCGACAGGGAAGUGGCACAGCUGGAAAGUCAGCCCAGAGAGGUUAGGGGGUGACCCAAUUUGACUCAGUAAGUCCCCACCCAGGGCUGCAGGCUCCCCACCACCCAACAGAUGGAGUCAGGGGGAGCUCCAGGGAAAGCCCCGCCCCACACUUGCACAAGAGUGACAGUUAGAACUCAUUCCUCCAGAUUCCUUUCUCGUCACCUCAUCACCUCAGAGCCCUUCUGGGAAGAGAGGCUGGGCAGGAAGCAGAUGGGGGGAGUCCCAUUGCCUUUUUCCUUUAAGCAGCCCCAGCUGCAAAGCCUUAUUGCUCAAGAAGAUAGCAUAGCCCAGAGAGGGGGAGUGAGAUGCCCCGGGUCACACAGCGGGGGAGGACCUCAGCGGAGGCAGGGGGUGGGGCUCCCUGGACCCUCAGCUGCCAAAACUCCAGGCUCAUAUGUUCCUAGGAUGGCCUGCCUCCCACCUUGGCUUUUAUGACUCUGCUUAUUUAAUGUAUUAUUGUCUUGCUUACUAAUAUUACUAAUUGCUAACUCAUUGCAAGCUUUCAAUAUGCCAGGCACAGAGCUAAGGACUUCACACAGAUUUCUUUCAUUCAUUCAUUUUUCCUGCAACAAAUCUCGAUUAAGCAUCUACUGUGUCCCAGGCACUGUGGUAGGGUCUGAGGGAGACACAUGUGAACAAAACUGAUGAGUUCUGGGCUCUCACAGAGCUGACAUUUUAGGAGCAAAACACAAUAAUCAAGUAAACUAAUACACGAACCUGUUAA
Neofelis nebulosa (Clouded leopard) is the source of this 2865-nucleotide long non-coding RNA. RefSeq lists it as uncharacterized. The record is from RefSeq and is a predicted model, not a curated record. The transcript is spliced from 4 exons. Lineage: Eukaryota; Metazoa; Chordata; Mammalia; Carnivora; Felidae.